RNAcentral lists this ribosomal RNA (447 nucleotides) under uncultured Tricholoma. RNAcentral's name for it is "eukaryotic LSU rRNA". The stretch from base 69 to 222 matches the Rfam family "5.8S ribosomal RNA". Lineage: Eukaryota; Fungi; Basidiomycota; Agaricomycetes; Agaricales; Tricholomataceae. The record is from RNAcentral.
UGUUUAUAUAUACCCCUACACAUGUUUUAGAAUGUCAUUAACGGGCUUAACUGCCUUUAAAUCUAUACAACUUUCAACAACGGAUCUCUUGGCUCUUGCAUCGAUGAAGAACGCAGCGAAAUGCGAUAAGUAAUGUGAAUUGCAGAAUUCAGUGAAUCAUCGAAUCUUUGAACGCACCUUGCGCUCCUUGGUAUUCCGAGGAGCAUGCCUGUUUGAGUGUCAUGAAAUUCUCAAACCUUUUCAGCAUUUAUGUUGAUCAGGCUUGGAUGUGGGAGUUUGCGGGCUUCUCAGAAGUCGGCUCUCCUUAAAUACAUUAGCGGGACCUUUGUUGCCCAGCUUUAGUGUGAUAAUUAUCUACGCUAUUGUUGGGAGCAGCUUUUAAUGGGGUACAGCUUCUAAUUGUCUCAUNUGAGACAACUUUUGACAAUUGACAUCAAAUCAGGUAGG